AUUGAACGCUGGCGGCAGGCCUAACACAUGCAAGUCGAGCGGAUGAAGGGAGCUUGCUCCUGGAUUCAGCGGCGGACGGGUGAGUAAUGCCUAGGAAUCUGCCUGGUAGUGGGGGAUAACGUCCGGAAACGGGCGCUAAUACCGCAUACGUCCUGAGGGAGAAAGUGGGGGAUCUUCGGACCUCACGCUAUCAGAUGAGCCUAGGUCGGAUUAGCUAGUUGGUGGGGUAAAGGCCUACCAAGGUGACGAUCCGUAACUGGUCUGAGAGGAUGAUCAGUCACACUGGAACUGAGACACGGUCCAGACUCCUACGGGAGGCAGCAGUGGGGAAUAUUGGACCAUGGGCGAAAGCCUGAUCCAGCCAUGCCGCGUGUGUGAAGAAGGUCUUCGGAUUGUAAAGCACUUUAAGUUGGGAGGAAGGGCAGUAAGUUAAUACCUUGCUGUUUUGACGUUACCAACAGAAUAAGCACCGGCUAACUUCGUG
Molecule: ribosomal RNA, 484 nt
Filed under: uncultured bacterium
Lineage: Bacteria
Description: partial 16S ribosomal RNA
Rfam family: Bacterial small subunit ribosomal RNA
Source: RNAcentral